GACGAACGCUGGCGGCGUGCCUAAUACAUGCAAGUAGAACGCUGAGGAUUGGUGCUUGCACUAAUCCAAGGAGUUGCGAACGGGUGAGUAACGCGUAGGUAACCUACCUCAUAGCGGGGGAUAACUAUUGGAAACGAUAGCUAAUACCGCAUGACACUAGAGUACACAUGUACUCAAGUUAAAAGGAGCAAUUGCUUCACUAUGAGAUGGACCUGCGUUGUAUUAGCUAGUUGGUGAGGUAAAGGCCCACCAAGGCGACGAUACAUAGCCGACCUGAGAGGGUGAUCGGCCACACUGGGACUGAGACACGGCCCAGACUCCUACGGGAGGCAGCAGUAGGGAAUCUUCGGCAAUGGACGGAAGUCUGACCGAGCAACGCCGCGUGAGUGAAGAAGGUUUUAGGAUCGUAAAGCUCUGUUGUUAGAGAAGAACGGUAAUGGGAGUGGAAAAUCCAUUACGUGACGGUAACUAACCAGAAAGGGACGGCUAACUACGUGCCAGCCGCCGCCGUAACAC
Molecule: ribosomal RNA, 516 nt
Filed under: uncultured bacterium
Lineage: Bacteria
Description: bacterial SSU rRNA
Rfam family: Bacterial small subunit ribosomal RNA
Source: RNAcentral